UACCACCACCCCCUCCAUCUUUUCAUCAUCCUACUGCCUACAUAGCUGCUCCAGGAUCUAUUGUUGACUCCUCGUGGUACCUAGAUACUAGUGCUUCCCACCACAUUACUCCUAAUUCAUCUUCGUUUAUCACAUCUUCAGAUUACUCAGGUCCUGACUAAGUUCAGAUUGGGAAUGGCUCAGGAAACAAACAAUUAUAAGUAGAUCUUCAACUGAGGCAGAAUUUCAAAGCCUGGCAGCCUGUGAAGCAGAGAUUACAUGGGUGAAGAAUUUGCUGUCUGAGUUGAAGAUUGCAUUGACUACUGUUCCAUCAAUAUUUUGUGACAAUUUAAGCACUGUUUUGCUCACUGUAAAUCUAGUCUUACAUGACAAAACGAAGCAUUUUUAGUUAGAUAUCCAAGUUGUUCGAGAAAAGAUCAACAACAAGUCAUUAUAAGUUGUACAUAUUCCUAGAAUUGAACAAGUUGCUGACAUUUUAACAAAACCUUUGUCAGCAACCAGUUAUGAGAGGCUCAAAGACAAGCUCAGAGUUGUUCCAAGGAGCAACUUGAGCUUGAGGGGGGGGGGGGUAUUGAGAGCACCAGCCCAAAAGGAUAAGUCCAACUAGUAAUAGUCAACUGCAGCCUAAUGAAUCAAUAGCAACCCAUUAGUUAAUACUCCUCAAGAAUAGUUAACAAAUGUGGAUGUACAAAAAGGAAUCAGUUUUGUUAGGGUUGGAUAUAUAAUUCCUUUUCACUCUGUAAAUAUUUUUUCAUUAUUCAAUAAAAAUUACUCCAUUAAUUCUUCAA
Arachis ipaensis is the source of this 788-nucleotide non-coding RNA. The record is from RefSeq and is a predicted model, not a curated record. Lineage: Eukaryota; Viridiplantae; Streptophyta; Magnoliopsida; Fabales; Fabaceae.